This is a long non-coding RNA of Octopus bimaculoides (California two-spot octopus), 1755 nucleotides long. RefSeq lists it as uncharacterized. NCBI's taxonomy places the organism in Eukaryota, Metazoa, Mollusca, Cephalopoda, Octopoda, Octopodidae. The record is from RefSeq and is a predicted model, not a curated record.
UCGUCAUAAACUAACAACCGCAAUUGGUUCCGACUGACUAGUUGUAAGUCGAUUUGGUUGUAAGUCAGCCUAUAGGCCUAUACAUAGCUUUGUUUUAUAUUUUUACAUUCUUAAGGUACAUUCUCAGGUAAAAGUCACAUACAGCAUUCUGUAUUAUUCUAUUAUACUGGUGUUAGUAAAAAAUUUCGGAGUCCCAAGCAGUCAUCUUGUAAACAAAUACAAGGUUGCCUCGAUUUCUCAUCCAACACAUGGAAUAACCACAGUGGCAAUCGAUAACCAAAUCUAUGGGAAGUGUUUGUUAGCUGACAUCAUCCGUUGAGUUAAUUUCUAAGAAAUUAAAGCCGUUAGAUUUCAACUGGACUAUAUAUUAUUGCUGCUGGGAGCUGGCACGCCAAUUGUUGUAAAGUUGACUGGUCAUAAGUUGCAUAGGUCUUAAGUCAAUGAUGACCUGUAUGUGUAUACAUAUAUAUAUAUAUAAAUGUGUGCAUGUGUGUCUGUUUUUUUGUGUCUCUCUUUACUGCUUGGUAUAUUAUAUAUAUGUAUGUAUAUAUGUAUGUAUGCCUGUAUAUAUGUGAGAUAACAGUUUCACUUUAAUAGUUUCAGUAUUAAAGUGAAACUAUUAAAGUGAAAAUAUCUGACAUUACAAUAGAGAGAUGUUAUUGUUUCACUUUUGACACGUAAUACUGAAAUAGUGGAGGAGAUAUGAUAUUGCUCUGGGCUCACACUAGGCAAGAAGUUAAAAAAUUUUUUUGGGCCUAUGACACUACAUGGACCCUAAGUAAGGCAUGUGUAAAAUUUGAAUGAAAUUGGUUCUGUAGUUCUCAAGGUUUAGGGAUUCAGACAGACACAUACUCAUCUUUAUAUAUAUAAAUGAUCAAGAAUAUAUUUUACAAAAGAAAAACAAGAAAAAAAGGGAGACAGAAAAGACAACAAUGCAGCACCAAGUGCUUCAGUUGGUCACACACCACAAGGUUCAAUGGAACCUACCUAAGCAAGCCAACAUACUCAUGGGUGAGGCUAAGGCAUUGGAAAAGUCAAGCACCCUCAUGGGCAUCACCUGCAGCUUUGAUGAAGUGAGCUACCACCAAUGACAAGAAUUUCGCGGUUAGUGACCCAGUAACUCCAAAUUUCUCAAAUGCCAUCGGCUGGAAGAUAUAGUUCAUCAUCAGGUCCUGAAACUUCAAGGUUUUGAUCUGUUUGGGUACGGAAGUAGUGACCCUCCCAUUUACUGUACCAUCCAGAAUGGUGGGGGGGGGGGGGAGAAAAAGAGUCACAUACGCCAUAGAAACCGGGCCCAUGAGCCUGACUAGGCUUUGAAAGGGCGACGUUUAUCGUUUUAUUUUCUGUUUAAUAAUAUCCAAAACAUGUAUCUAGCUAACUGAUCUAAGGGGAAUAACUCAAUAGCUUAGAUAUAACUUAUACUCCUUUUUGCCUCACUGCACACGACAGCAAGUAGGCAUGUCUAAAAUGGUUGCUUUAAAGAUUGUUCGUAUGUGUUUUGGUCAUGAGAAACUUUUGGUUUGCUCAACACUGAGAAGAUAAGAUGUAAAAACACCCUUUAUCAUCUGCGAACAUUUUUACUCCAUGAUAAACUGUAGUGAAACUUCCUUUAGAAGAAGAACAGAAUGGACUAUGUGAAGCAGGUGCACACACGAGGAUGGGAAGUGUCGCUGAAGAAGUCACAGAUGUGUAACGAAAGAUUUCCGGACAAUGGACAAGAGUUAAAAUAACAGUAAUAAACGAGUGAAGAACGAA